UCCCUGGUGGUCCAGUGGCUAAGACUGCACUCUCAAUGCAGGGGUCCAGGUUCAAUCCCUGGUUGGGGAA
This 70-nucleotide transfer RNA is filed under the name Capra hircus (goat). It matches the Rfam family "tRNA". Rfam says of the family: Transfer RNA (tRNA) molecules are approximately 80 nucleotides in length. Their secondary structure includes four short double-helical elements and three loops (D, anti-codon, and T loops). Further hydrogen bonds mediate the characteristic L-shaped molecular structure. tRNAs have two regions of fundamental functional importance: the anti-codon, which is responsible for specific mRNA codon recognition, and the 3' end, to which the tRNAs corresponding amino acid is attached (by aminoacyl-tRNA synthetases). tRNAs cope with the degeneracy of the genetic code in two manners: having more than one tRNA (with a specific anti-codon) for a particular amino acid; and 'wobble' base-pairing, i.e. permitting non-standard base-pairing at the 3rd anti-codon position. RNAcentral also lists the same sequence under 1 other name. The record is from Rfam by way of RNAcentral. Lineage: Eukaryota; Metazoa; Chordata; Mammalia; Artiodactyla; Bovidae.